RNAcentral lists this ribosomal RNA (500 nucleotides) under uncultured marine bacterium. Its description in RNAcentral is "bacterial SSU rRNA". It matches the Rfam family "Bacterial small subunit ribosomal RNA", at positions 47 to 526 of the family's 1533-position model. The record is from RNAcentral.
CCUAACACAUGCAAGUCGAGCGGAAACGAGUUGUCUGAACCUUCGGGGNACGAUAACGGCGUCGAGCGGCGGACGGGUGAGUAAUGCUUGGGAAAUUGCCCCGAUGUUGGGGAUACCCAUUGGAAACGAUGGCUAAUACCGCAUAAUAGCUUCGGCUCAAAGAGGGGGACCUUCGGGCCUCUCGCGUCAGGAUAUGCCCAGGUGGGAUUAGCUAGUUGGUGAGGUAAGGGCUCACCAAGGCGACGAUCCCUAGCUGGUCUGAGAGGAUGAUCAGCCACACUGGAACUGAGACACGGUCCAGACUCCUACGGGAGGCAGCAGUGGGGAAUAUUGCACAAUGGGCGCAAGCCUGAUGCAGCCAUGCCGCGUGUAUGAAGAAGGCCUUCGGGUUGUAAAGUACUUUCAGCAGUGAGGAAGAUGGUGUACUUAAUACGUGCAUCAUUUGACGUUAGCUGCAGAAGAAGCACCGGCUAACUCCGUGCCAGCAGCCGCGGUAAUAC